Molecule: ribosomal RNA, 507 nt
Filed under: uncultured bacterium
Lineage: Bacteria
Description: bacterial SSU rRNA
Rfam family: Bacterial small subunit ribosomal RNA
Source: RNAcentral
GACGAACGCUGGCGGCGUGGAUUAGGCAUGCAAGUCGAACGGUAUCAUCCUUUCGGGGGUGAGAGAGUGGCGAACUGGUGAGUAACACGUAGGUUAUCUACCCUCAAGACGGGGACAACCCAGGGAAACUUGGGCUAAUACCGGAUGUGAGCAACUUUUAGUUGUUUGAAAGGUGGCGUAAGCUGUCGCUUGGGGAUGAGCCUGCGUCCUAUUAGUUAGUUGGUGAGGUAACGGCUCACCUAGGCAAUGAUAGGUAGGCGGCCUUAACGGGUGGUCGCCCACACUGGGAUUGAGAUACGGCCCAGACUCCUACGGGAGGCAGCAGUCGAGAAUAGUCUACAAUGGUCGGAAGACUGAUAGUGCGACGCCGCGUGAACGAUGAAUCCCUUCGGGGUGUAAAGUUCUUUUAUAUGUGAGCAGUGCUUCUUAUAUUAACAGUAUGGGGAGAGAGAUAUUAGCAUAUGAAUAAGCGACGGCUAACUCCGUGCCAGCAGCCGCGGUAAAACG